GACGAGUGGCGCAAGCGUUGUUCGGAUUCACUGGGCAUAAAGCGCGCGUAGGCGGCGCUGUAAGUCGGAUGUGAAAGCCCCCGGCCCAACCGGGGAAUAGCAUUCGAAACUGUGGUGCUAGAGUCUGGAAGGGGGGAGUGGAAUUCCUGGUGGAGCGGUGAAAUGCGUAGAUAUCAGGAGGAACGCCGGUGGCGAAGGCGACUCUCUGGUCCAGUACUGACGCUCAGAGCGCGAAAGCUAGGGGAGCAAACAGG
This 254-nucleotide ribosomal RNA is filed under the name uncultured bacterium. Its description in RNAcentral is "partial 16S ribosomal RNA". It matches the Rfam family "Bacterial small subunit ribosomal RNA", at positions 524 to 776 of the family's 1533-position model. The record is from RNAcentral.